RNAcentral lists this transfer RNA (89 nucleotides) under uncultured Eubacterium sp. RNAcentral's name for it is "tRNA-Ser(cga)". It matches the Rfam family "tRNA". Rfam says of the family: Transfer RNA (tRNA) molecules are approximately 80 nucleotides in length. Their secondary structure includes four short double-helical elements and three loops (D, anti-codon, and T loops). The record is from RNAcentral. Lineage: Bacteria; Bacillati; Bacillota; Clostridia; Eubacteriales; Eubacteriaceae.
GGAGACGUAUCGAAGUGGUCAUAACGAGCUCGACUCGAAAUCGAGUUGUCCGCAAGGGCACGUGGGUUCGAAUCCCACCGUCUCCGCCA